RNAcentral lists this ribosomal RNA (497 nucleotides) under uncultured bacterium. RNAcentral's name for it is "partial 16S ribosomal RNA". It matches the Rfam family "Bacterial small subunit ribosomal RNA", at positions 28 to 507 of the family's 1533-position model. The record is from RNAcentral.
GAUGAACGCUGGCGGCGUGCCUAAUACAUGCAAGUCGAGCGAACGGACGAGAAGCUUGCUUCUCUGAUGUUAGCGGCGGACGGGUGAGUAACACGUGGAUAACCUACCUAUAAGACUGGGAUAACUUCGGGAAACCGGAGCUAAUACCGGAUAAUAUUUUGAACCGCAUGGUUCAAAAGUGAAAGACGGUCUUGCUGUCACUUAUAGAUGGAUCCGCGCUGCAUUAGCUAGUUGGUAAGGUAACGGCUUACCAAGGCAACGAUGCAUAGCCGACCUGAGAGGGUGAUCGGCCACACUGGAACUGAGACACGGUCCAGACUCCUACGGGAGGAAGCAGUAGGGAAUCUUCCGCAAUGGGCGAAAGCCUGACGGAGCAACGCCGAGUGAGUGAUGAAGGUCUUCGGAUCGUAAAACUCUGUUAUUAGGGAAGAACAUAUGUGUAAGUAACUGUGCACAUCUUGACGGUACCUAAUCAGAAAGCCACGGCUAACUACGUG